RNAcentral lists this ribosomal RNA (248 nucleotides) under uncultured bacterium. RNAcentral's name for it is "partial 16S ribosomal RNA". It matches the Rfam family "Bacterial small subunit ribosomal RNA", at positions 524 to 771 of the family's 1533-position model. The record is from RNAcentral.
UACGAAGGGGGCUAGCGUUGCUCGGAAUCACUGGGCGUAAAGGGUGCGUAGGCGGGUCUUUAAGUCAGGGUGAAAUCCUGGAGCUCAACUCCAGAACUGCCUUUGAUACUGAAGAUCUUGAGUUCGGGAGAGGUGAGUGGAACUGCGAGUGUAGAGGUGAAAUUCGUAGAUAUUCGCAAGAACACCAGUGGCGAAGGCGGCUCACUGGCCCGAUACUGACGCUGAGGCUACGAAAGCGUGGGGAGCGA